RNAcentral lists this ribosomal RNA (253 nucleotides) under uncultured bacterium. Its description in RNAcentral is "partial 16S ribosomal RNA". It matches the Rfam family "Bacterial small subunit ribosomal RNA", at positions 524 to 776 of the family's 1533-position model. The record is from RNAcentral.
UACGGGGGGAGCAAGCGUUGUUCGGAUUUACUGGGCGUAAAGGGCGCGUAGGCGGCGUGGCAAGUCACUUGUGAAAUCUCCGGGCUUAACUCGGAACGGUCAAGUGAUACUGUCGUGCUAGAGUACAGAAGGGGCAACUGGAAUUCUCGGUGUAGCGGUGAAAUGCGUAGAUAUCGAGAGGAACACCUGCGGCGAAGGCGGGUUGCUGGGCUGAUACUGACGCUGAGGCGCGAAAGCCAGAGGAGCGAACGGG